RNAcentral lists this ribosomal RNA (495 nucleotides) under uncultured bacterium. RNAcentral's name for it is "partial 16S ribosomal RNA". It matches the Rfam family "Bacterial small subunit ribosomal RNA", at positions 28 to 507 of the family's 1533-position model. The record is from RNAcentral.
GACGAACGCUGGCGGCGUGCCUAAUACAUGCAAGUAGAACGCUGAAGGAGGAGCUUGCUUCUCUGGAUGAGUUGCGAACGGGUGAGUAACGCGUAGGUAACCUGCCUGGUAGCGGGGGAUAACUAUUAGAAACGAUAGCUAAUACCGCAUAAUAGUAGAUGUUGCAUGACAUUUGCUUAAAAGGUGCAAUUGCAUCACUACCAGAUGGACCUGCGUUGUAUUAGCUAGUUGGUGGGGUAACGGCUCACCAAGGCGACGAUACAUAGCCGAACUGAGAGGGUGAUCGGCCACACUGGGACUGAGACACGGCCCAGACUGCUACGGGAGGCAGCAGGAGGGAAUCUUCGGCAAUGGACGGAAGUCUGACCGAGCAACGCCGCGUGAGUGAAGAAGGGUGUCGGAUCGGAAAGCUCGGUUGUAAGAGAAGAACGAGUGUGAGAGUGGAAAGUUCACACUGUGACGGCAUCUUACCAGAAAGGGACGGCUAACUACGUG